GGAACGCGCCACGAUCAAAAAUAUUGGCAAAUUAUCGACAAUUUAUGCUCCAAUCAAAUCCCUGAACCUCAUGCACGACCAAUCAUUACGUUUCGUAUAUUUUCAGACCCAUCGUUAUCCCGAUCAAACGCCUCCGUUAUCACGAGUUCUUGUUGCGUCUUGACGCAGCUUUUGACAACAAGCCAAUUGCCUUUCCAACGAGCAAGUUUUCAGCCUCGAUAUCUGCCCUCAAACUUCGUUGCCUACGAUUUAAGCUCGUUUCGUUUCGCGAUUAAAUUCCAUUCUCGGCUCGAUCGAUGAUUCCGCGUCGUACUCGUUGGUACAUCGUCUUCCGAAAUUUCUGACAAAAUACCAAUCCCCGGCGGCAAUCAAACUUUCGAAUACGAUUAAACCUAAACCCGUCUCGGUCCGCUAUUUAAGCUGGUUUCACGCUGGUCCACGGCGCACCGCGAUUGUCGUGUCGAUCGAUAGCUGCAUUGUGACGAGCCUGUUGCGUCCUUGUCCUCGGUGGCCUGACCGGGUCCUUGGGCCUGUUGCUUUGUUCUUCUUGCCUUUUCCAGCUGGACGGUAUCUUCCUUUUGUCGCUCAUGUCGCCGUGGCUCGUUUUUCACAUUCGAUGCAACGGCUUCAGCAGCCUCUUCUUUCGGCGUUCCUCACUCGUCGACUGAAAAAGGGAAUCGCGAGACCACGGAACGAGCGAGAAAACGAGGCUGUACCGACACGCACAGGUGCUCGAUGCGCACACGAUCCAACACUAACUCGAACAUGCCAGCCGACUAGAAAUAUCCUGCUGUGUGUGGUGGUGGCCAGCCGAUGGACAGUGGUCAGACCAGAAGCGGAGGAGUCCACCAGAGUUGGCAGUAUCCCACAAUCGAUAAAUCUAUUUACAAUGGAUUAACCAGGAAACGAUAAACUAAGUACAGUAAUGUGCUGUAACUGAGACAACUAAAUGAAUAAUUCACAACUCAUAACUAAUAGUUCACAACUCAUAACAACUCGCCAACUCUUUCCACUCAACUCUCGACUCCUCGCAACUUGACUCUCAACCAACGACUUCUCACAAUUUGACUCUCGGCUAACGACUGCCGAUUAAUUCGUCUUUCUCCCUUAAGCAUUCCUUUGUUUUUUCUCAUAUCCCCACCACGUACGUGUUCCGCGAUCAUCAUCCCGUAUACUUUCUUCCGCGUAACUAUUCAACCGAAGGACCGACGACACAUUGAUGGACCGCUUGGCCCAUUGAAGUUUCUCGACCCUCUCGGUCUGUCAGCACUUAGGCUUUCUCGCAACGUUGUUUAUAGUUCACCCGAUAUUUCUUAGGCAAUCUGCCCACGAUAUUACAUUAUGUGUAUAUAUAUACGGAACACAUACGUAGUGGAGGUAUGAGAAGAGACAAAGGGAUGCUUAAGGAAGGAAGACGAAUUAAUUAAUUUUAUAUAUAUUGAAAAUUUUAUAUCAAACUCCAAAAUCCUUCCAUCAGCUACUACGUAUGUUUUGGAACGUACUUUUGUUGAGAUACGAUUCCAGUUAGCUGUUAAUGUAUUCUGACUUUUAUAGUGUGAACGUAGGUGUUUAGUGUCUGGCCUGAUCCGAACGUAAUAUUACAAUUGGC
RNAcentral lists this unclassified non-coding RNA (1609 nucleotides) under Bombus terrestris (buff-tailed bumblebee). Its description in RNAcentral is "misc RNA ENSBTSG00005026113.1". The record is from RNAcentral. Lineage: Eukaryota; Metazoa; Arthropoda; Insecta; Hymenoptera; Apidae.